AAAAAAAAACGAAAAAAAAA
Molecule: small RNA, 20 nt
Filed under: Arabidopsis thaliana (thale cress)
Lineage: Eukaryota; Viridiplantae; Streptophyta; Magnoliopsida; Brassicales; Brassicaceae
Description: ATSL286350
Source: RNAcentral